UACGAAGGGGGCUAGCGUUGUUCGGAAUACUGGGCGUAAAGCGUGCGCAGGCGGCUUCUCAAGUCAGGGGUGAAAGCCCAGAGCUCAACUCUGGAAUUGCCUUUGAGACUGAGUGGCUUGAGUACGGGAGAGGUGAGUGGAAUUCCCAGUGUAGAGGUGAAAUUCGUAGAUAUUGGGAAGAACACCGGUGGCGAAGGCGGCUCACUGGCCCGUAACUGACGCUCAUGCACGACAGCGUGGGGAUCAAACAGG
Molecule: ribosomal RNA, 252 nt
Filed under: uncultured bacterium
Lineage: Bacteria
Description: partial 16S ribosomal RNA
Rfam family: Bacterial small subunit ribosomal RNA
Source: RNAcentral